UACGUAGGCAGCAAGCGUUGUUCGGAGUUACUGGGCGUAAAGGGUGUGUAGGCGGUUCUUUAAGUUUGGUGUGAAAUCUCCCGGCUCAACUGGGAGGGUGCGCCGAAUACUGAGGGACUAGAGUACGGGAGAGGAAAUUGGAAUUCCUGGUGUAGCGGUGAAAUGCGUAGAUAUCAGGAGGAACACCGGUGGUGUAGACGGCUUUCUGGACCGUAACUGACGCUGAGACACGAAAGCGUGGGUAGCAAACAGG
RNAcentral lists this ribosomal RNA (253 nucleotides) under uncultured bacterium. Its description in RNAcentral is "partial 16S ribosomal RNA". It matches the Rfam family "Bacterial small subunit ribosomal RNA", at positions 524 to 776 of the family's 1533-position model. The record is from RNAcentral.